This 75-nucleotide transfer RNA is filed under the name Fervidicoccus fontis. RNAcentral describes it as "tRNA-Asp". It matches the Rfam family "tRNA". From Rfam's summary of the family: Transfer RNA (tRNA) molecules are approximately 80 nucleotides in length. Their secondary structure includes four short double-helical elements and three loops (D, anti-codon, and T loops). Further hydrogen bonds mediate the characteristic L-shaped molecular structure. tRNAs have two regions of fundamental functional importance: the anti-codon, which is responsible for specific mRNA codon recognition, and the 3' end, to which the tRNAs corresponding amino acid is attached (by aminoacyl-tRNA synthetases). tRNAs cope with the degeneracy of the genetic code in two manners: having more than one tRNA (with a specific anti-codon) for a particular amino acid; and 'wobble' base-pairing, i.e. permitting non-standard base-pairing at the 3rd anti-codon position. The record is from RNAcentral. RNAcentral also lists the same sequence under 2 other names. Lineage: Archaea; Thermoproteati; Thermoproteota; Thermoprotei; Fervidicoccales; Fervidicoccaceae.
GCCGCGGUAGUAUAGCCUGGCCUAGUAUGCAGGCCUGUCGAGCCUGUGACCCGGGUUCAAAUCCCGGCCGCGGCG